Molecule: long non-coding RNA, 605 nt
Organism: Nicotiana tabacum (common tobacco)
Lineage: Eukaryota; Viridiplantae; Streptophyta; Magnoliopsida; Solanales; Solanaceae
Source: RefSeq, a predicted model, not a curated record
CCUAAAUUCCAAAACCCCAAACGGCGCCACCCCUCCUCCGCCUCUCUGUCGCUGCUCAACUCGCCCGAACUUGCCUGAACUCAGGUGAGUUCACCCCCAAACUCGUGCAUGUGAUCCCUCCUAUCUCCCUCCUCCACGUCACCUGUCCCGUAACAACUCCUUCUGUACUGCUGUUUUUUAUGCUGCUCUGUUAAACUUGGCUUCAUACCUGGUUUUCUGACCUUUAUUUGGUCCUUUAUUUGUUAUUUCCUGUCAUUAGCCAUUUAGCGGUUGUGCAUGACAGAGCCGAUUAAUAAGAGUAGCCCAGUGGCUAUUUUCUUAUAAAUCAGAGGUCUGCCCGAAGGAACGAGAGGCGUAUGAUUCAAGAAUAGCAAUGGUCGUGCAAGAUAAUGUGAUGGAAUCAUGGAAUGCGUUAAACUAGCUUUAGAUUGUUGAAAUUUGUAAUCUGAAUCCCAAGCUCAGUUACUGUACAUGAUUGUUAAAUUCUUGACCCUAUGCCUUCAUGAAAUAUACAUAGUUGUCGAUAAUGAAUUGUAUUUGUUUACUUGAAAUUUUUCAUUAUUAUUGACAAAAUCAGUGUAUAGAUCCAUAUGUCUUUGAGUUCA